UAACAAUGAUUUCCCUAGUAACGGCGAGUGAAGAGGAAAGAGCUCAAAGUUGGAAUCUGUUUGGCUUAGCUAAACCGAGUUGUAAACUGUAGAGGCAUUUCCCAGGUACACUAGACAAAAAAGUCCUUUGGAACAGGGCAUCAUAGAGGGUGAGAAUCCCGUCUUUGGUCUAAGUAGUUGCCUAUUGUGAUAUGUCUUCAAAGAGUCAGGUUGUUUGGGAAUGCAGCCUAAAUUGGGUGGUAAAUCUCACCUAAAGCUAAAUAUCUGCGAGAGACCGAUAGCGAACAAGUACCGUGAGGGAAAGAUGAAAAGAACUUUGAAAAGAGAGUUAAACAGUAUGUGAAAUUGUUAAAAGGGAACCGGUUGGAGCCAGACUGGCUUGAUUGUAAUCAACCUGGGAUUCGUCCGGGUGCACUUGCAGUCUAUGCCUGCCAACAACAGUUUGAUCUGGAGGAAAAAAUUAGCCGGAAUGUAGCCUCUCUCGGGAGGUGUUAUAGCCUGUUAUCAUACUCUGGGUUGGACUGAGGAUCGCAGCGAAUGCUCUCGGGCAGGAUUGCUGGGUGCUUUCGCCAAUAAAUGUUAGAAUUUCUGCCUCGGGUGGUGCUAAUGUUCAGCGGAGAAACUCGCCUAGUAUAUCUCUUAUUCGCUUAGGUUGUUGGCUUAAUGACUCUAAAUGA
This 677-nucleotide ribosomal RNA is filed under the name Parasitella parasitica. RNAcentral describes it as "eukaryotic LSU rRNA". It matches the Rfam family "Eukaryotic large subunit ribosomal RNA", at positions 66 to 647 of the family's 3401-position model. Lineage: Eukaryota; Fungi; Mucoromycota; Mucoromycetes; Mucorales; Mucoraceae. The record is from RNAcentral.